This 2164-nucleotide ribosomal RNA is filed under the name Escherichia coli. RNAcentral describes it as "partial 23S ribosomal RNA". It matches the Rfam family "Bacterial large subunit ribosomal RNA", at positions 772 to 2912 of the family's 2925-position model. Lineage: Bacteria; Pseudomonadati; Pseudomonadota; Gammaproteobacteria; Enterobacterales; Enterobacteriaceae. The record is from RNAcentral.
GACCGAACCGACUAAUGUUGAAAAAUUAGCGGAUGACUUGUGGCUGGGGGUGAAAGGCCAAUCAAACCGGGAGAUAGCUGGUUCUCCCCGAAAGCUAUUUAGGUAGCGCCUCGUGAAUUCAUCUCCGGGGGUAGAGCACUGUUUCGGCAAGGGGGUCAUCCCGACUUACCAACCCGAUGCAAACUGCGAAUACCGGAGAAUGUUAUCACGGGAGACACACGGCGGGUGCUAACGUCCGUCGUGAAGAGGGAAACAACCCAGACCGCCAGCUAAGGUCCCAAAGUCAUGGUUAAGUGGGAAACGAUGUGGGAAGGCCCAGACAGCCAGGAUGUUGGCUUAGAAGCAGCCAUCAUUUAAAGAAAGCGUAAUAGCUCACUGGUCGAGUCGGCCUGCGCGGAAGAUGUAACGGGGCUAAACCAUGCACCGAAGCUGCGGCAGCGACACUAUGUGUUGUUGGGUAGGGGAGCGUUCUGUAAGCCUGUGAAGGUGUACUGUGAGGUAUGCUGGAGGUAUCAGAAGUGCGAAUGCUGACAUAAGUAACGAUAAAGCGGGUGAAAAGCCCGCUCGCCGGAAGACCAAGGGUUCCUGUCCAACGUUAAUCGGGGCAGGGUGAGUCGACCCCUAAGGCGAGGCCGAAAGGCGUAGUCGAUGGGAAACAGGUUAAUAUUCCUGUACUUGGUGUUACUGCGAAGGGGGGACGGAGAAGGCUAUGUUGGCCGGGCGACGGUUGUCCCGGUUUAAGCGUGUAGGCUGGUUUUCCAGGCAAAUCCGGAAAAUCAAGGCUGAGGCGUGAUGACGAGGCACUACGGUGCUGAAGCAACAAAUGCCCUGCUUCCAGGAAAAGCCUCUAAGCAUCAGGUAACAUCAAAUCGUACCCCAAACCGACACAGGUGGUCAGGUAGAGAAUACCAAGGCGCUUGAGAGAACUCGGGUGAAGGAACUAGGCAAAAUGGUGCCGUAACUUCGGGAGAAGGCACGCUGAUAUGUAGGUGAAGUCCCUCGCGGAUGGAGCUGAAAUCAGUCGAAGAUACCAGCUGGCUGCAACUGUUUAUUAAAAACACAGCACUGUGCAAACACGAAAGUGGACGUAUACGGUGUGACGCCUGCCCGGUGCCGGAAGGUUAAUUGAUGGGGUUAGCGGUAACGCGAAGCUCUUGAUCGAAGCCCCGGUAAACGGCGGCCGUAACUAUAACGGUCCUAAGGUAGCGAAAUUCCUUGUCGGGUAAGUUCCGACCUGCACGAAUGGCGUAAUGAUGGCCAGGCUGUCUCCACCCGAGACUCAGUGAAAUUGAACUCGCUGUGAAGAUGCAGUGUACCCGCGGCAAGACGGAAAGACCCCGUGAACCUUUACUAUAGCUUGACACUGAACAUUGAGCCUUGAUGUGUAGGAUAGGUGGGAGGCUUUGAAGUGUGGACGCCAGUCUGCAUGGAGCCGGCCUUGAAAUACCACCCUUUAAUGUUUGAUGUUCUAACGUUGGCCCCUGACCGGGGUUGCGGACAGUGUCUGGUGGGUAGUUUGACUGGGGCGGUCUCCUCCUAAAGAGUAACGGAGGAGCACGAAGGUUGGCUAAUCCUGGUCGGACAUCAGGAGGUUAGUGCAAUGGCAUAAGCCAGCUUGACUGCGAGCGUGACGGCGCGAGCAGGUGCGAAAGCAGGUCAUAGUGAUCCGGUGGUUCUGAAUGGAAGGGCCAUCGCUCAACGGAUAAAAGGUACUCCGGGGAUAACAGGCUGAUACCGCCCAAGAGUUCAUAUCGACGGCGGUGUUUGGCACCUCGAUGUCGGCUCAUCACAUCCUGGGGCUGAAGUAGGUCCCAAGGGUAUGGCUGUUCGCCAUUUAAAGUGGUACGCGAGCUGGGUUUAGAACGUCGUGAGACAGUUCGGUCCCUAUCUGCCGUGGGCGCUGGAGAACUGAGGGGGGCUGCUCCUAGUACGAGAGGACCGGAGUGGACGCAUCACUGGUGUUCGGGUUGUCAUGCCAAUGGCACUGCCCGGUAGCUAAAUGCGGAAGAGAUAAGUGCUGAAAGCAUCUAAGCACGAAACUUGCCCCGAGAUGAGUUCUCCCUGACUCCUUGAGAGUCCUGAAGGAACGUUGAAGACGACGACGUUGAUAGGCCGGGUGUGUAAGCGCAGCGAUGCGUUGAGCUAACCGGUACUAAUGAACCGU